AUGAGGCGACUCUCCGCUCGGCCGCUCCUGAACAGGAAGUGGCUGAAGAGGAAAUGCCUUUGUGAUGAGAGGCAGUUUCCUUCAUCACAUUGUUCUCGUCAGGAGACGUUCAAGACCCAGCGCCAAGAAAAACAUGUCAGCGUCUGUUGGUUUGGGGAUAUUUCAUGGAGACGGACCAGAACCAGAACCAGAAUCAGAAUCAGAAUCAGAACCAGAACCAGAACCAGAACCACAAUCAAAAACAGAACCAGCAUCAGGACUAGAAUCAGAACCAGAACCAGCAUCAGGACCAGAAUCAGAACCACAAUCAAAAACAGAACCAGCAUCAGGACUAGAAUCAGAACCAGAACCAGAACCAGAACCAGCAUCAGGACUAGAAUCAGAACCAGAACCAGAAACAAAAUCAGAAACACAACCAGAACCAGAAUCAGACUCCGAACCAGCAUCAGGACCAGAAUCAGAACCAGAGCCAGAACCAGAACAAGAAUCAGAACCAGAAGCAGAACCAGAACCACAAUCAAAAACAGAACCAGCAUCAGGACUAGAAUCAGAACCAGAACCAGCAUCAGGACCAGAAUCAGAACCAGAACCAGAACCAGAAUCAGAAACACAACCAGAACCAGAACCAGAACCAGAAUCAGAGCCAGAACCAGAACCAGAACAAGAAUCAGAGCCAGAACCAGAACCAGAACAAGAAUCAGCAUCAGGACCAGAAUCAGAACCAGAACCAGAAUCAGCAUCAGCAUCAGGACCAAAACCAGAGACGAGAGGUUCUCACCCUCAACAUUCAGCUGUCAGGUCGACAAUAUCAGACAGACAGAGAGACAGACAGAGAGACAGAGAGACAGACAGACAAAGACACAGACAGUCAGAGAGACAGACAGACAGAGACAGACAGACAGAGACACAGACAGUCAGAGAGACAGUCAGAGAGACAGACAGACAGACAGAGACACAGACAGUCAGAGAGACAGACAGACAGACAGAGACACAGACAGUCAGAGAGACAGACAGACAGGCAGACAGAGAGACAGACAGAGAGACAGACAGACAAAGACACAGACAGUCAGAGAGACAGACAGACAGAGACAGACAGACAGAGACACAGACAGUCAGAGAGACAGUCAGAGAGACAGACAGACAGACAGACAGAGACACGGACAGAGACACAGACAGUCAGAGAGACAGACAGACAGACAGACAGAGACACAGACAGUCAGAGAGACAGAGACACAGACAGUCAGAGAGACAGACAGACAGACAGAGACACAGACAGACACAGACAGACAGAGACACAGACAGUCAGAGAGACAGAGACACAGACAGUCAGAGAGACAGACAGACAGACAGAGACACAGACAGACACACAGACAGACAGAGACACAGACAGUCAGAGAGACAGAGACACAGACAGUCAGAGAGACAGACAGACAGCAGGACAGGGUUGAGGUAAUAAAAUGCAAACUAGCUCCAGUGAGUCCUGCUUCCUGUUACACACUCGACAACAAACACUGA
Molecule: long non-coding RNA, 1515 nt
Filed under: Scophthalmus maximus (turbot)
Lineage: Eukaryota; Metazoa; Chordata; Actinopteri; Pleuronectiformes; Scophthalmidae
Description: lncRNA (ENSSMAG00000022111.1)
Source: RNAcentral